This 694-nucleotide ribosomal RNA is filed under the name uncultured Bacteroidales bacterium. RNAcentral's name for it is "bacterial SSU rRNA". It matches the Rfam family "Bacterial small subunit ribosomal RNA", at positions 32 to 715 of the family's 1533-position model. The record is from RNAcentral. Lineage: Bacteria; Pseudomonadati; Bacteroidota; Bacteroidia; Bacteroidales.
AACGCUAGCUACAGGCUUAACACAUGCAAGUCGAGGGGCAGCAUGGUCUUAGCUUGCUAAGGCCGAUGGCGACCGGCGCACGGGUGAGUAACGCGUAUCCAACCUGCCUUACACUCUUGGACAGCCUUCUGAAAGGGAGAUUAAUACAAGAUGUUAUCAUGAGUAAGCAUUUUCGCAUGAUUAAAGGUUUACCGGUGUAAGAUGGGGAUGCGUUCCAUUAGAUAGUAGGCGGGGUAACGGCCCACCUAGUCUUCGAUGGAUAGGGGUUCUGAGAGGAAGGUCCCCCACAUUGGAACUGAGACACGGUCCAAACUCCUACGGGAGGCAGCAGUGAGGAAUAUUGGUCAAUGGGCGAGAGCCUGAACCAGCCAAGUAGCGUGAAGGAUGACUGCCCUAUGGGUUGUAAACUUCUUUUAUAAAGGAAUAAAGUCGGGUAUGGAUACCCGUUUGCAUGUACUUUAUGAAUAAGGAUCGGCUAACUCCGUGCCAGCAGCCGCGGUAAUACGGAGGAUCCGAGCGUUAUCCGGAUUUAUUGGGUUUAAAGGGAGCGUAGAUGGAUGUUUAAGUCAGUUGUGAAAGUUUGCGGCUCAACCGUAAAAUUGCAGUUGAUACUGGAUAUCUUGAGUGCAGUUGAGGCAGGCGGAAUUCGUGGUGUAGCGGUGAAAUGCUUAGAUAUCACGAAGAACUCCGAUUG